AUUGAACGCUGGCGGAAUGCUUUACACAUGCAAGUCGAACGGCAGCACGGACUUCGGUCUGGUGGCGAGUGGCGAACGGGUGAGUAAUGUAUCGGAACGUGCCCAGUCGUGGGGGAUAACGUAGUGAAGAUUACGCUAAUACCGCAUACGAUCUAUGGAUGAAAGCGGGGGAUCGCAAGACCUCGCGCGAUUGGAGCGGCCGAUAUCAGAUUAGGUAGUUGGUGGGGUAAAGGCCCACCAAGCCCACGAUCUGUAGCUGGUCUGAGAGGACGACAAGCCACACUGGAACUGAGACACGGUCCAGACUCCUACGGGAGGCAGCAGUGGGGAAUUUUGGACAAUGGGCGAAAGCCUGAUCCAGCCAUUCCGCGUGCAGGAUGAAGGCCCUCGGGUUGUAAACUGCUUUUGUACAGAACGAAAAGGUUUCUACUAAUACUAGGAGCUCAUGACGGUACUGUAAGAAUAAGCACCGGCUAACUACGUGCCAGCCGCCGCCGUAA
RNAcentral lists this ribosomal RNA (500 nucleotides) under uncultured bacterium. RNAcentral describes it as "partial 16S ribosomal RNA". It matches the Rfam family "Bacterial small subunit ribosomal RNA", at positions 30 to 523 of the family's 1533-position model. The record is from RNAcentral.